AACAAUAAACAUAUUUUCAAUUUAAUUCAAAUUCUAGUCAGAUCACUGAAGCCAAGCACGGUCGGGCGCGGUUAGUACUUGGACGGGUGACCGCUUGGGAACACCGCGUGCCGUUGGCG
This 119-nucleotide ribosomal RNA is filed under the name Oryctes borbonicus. Lineage: Eukaryota; Metazoa; Arthropoda; Insecta; Coleoptera; Scarabaeidae. The record is from RNAcentral.